UACCAGCUCUCCGAGUGGUAGGGAUGGUUAUUGGGCUUAAAGCGUCCGUAGCCGGCUUAGCAAGUUUCCUGUUAAAUUCAGCGACCUAAUCGUUGAGCCGCGGGAAAUACUACUAGGCUAGGAGGCGGGAGAGGUCGACGGUACUUCUGGGGUAGGGGUGAAAUCCUAUAAUCCCGGGAGGACCACCAGUGGCGAAGGCUGUCGACUAGAACGCGCUCGACGGUGAGGGACGAAAGCUGGGGGAGCGAACCGGAUUAGAUACCCGGGUAGUCCCAGCUGUAAACGAUGCGGGCUAGGUGUUGGGGUGGCUACGUGCCACUUCAGUGCCGCAGGGGAAGCCAUUAAGCCCGCCGCCUGGGGAGUACGGCCGCAAGGCUGAAACUUAAAGGAAUUGGCGGGGAGCACCACAAGGCGUGAAGCUUGCGGUUC
RNAcentral lists this ribosomal RNA (429 nucleotides) under uncultured archaeon. Its description in RNAcentral is "bacterial SSU rRNA". It matches the Rfam family "Archaeal small subunit ribosomal RNA", at positions 474 to 903 of the family's 1478-position model. The record is from RNAcentral.